RNAcentral lists this ribosomal RNA (253 nucleotides) under uncultured bacterium. Its description in RNAcentral is "partial 16S ribosomal RNA". It matches the Rfam family "Bacterial small subunit ribosomal RNA", at positions 524 to 776 of the family's 1533-position model. The record is from RNAcentral.
UACAGAGGUCCCAAGCGUUGUUCGGAUUUACUGGGCGUAAAGGGUGCGUAGGCGGCGCGGUAAGUCGGGUGUGAAAUCUCGGGGCUUAACUCCGAAACUGCAUUCGAUACUGCCGUGCUUGAGGACUGGAGAGGAGACUGGAAUUUACGGUGUAGCGGUGAAAUGCGUAGAUAUCGUAAGGAAGACCAGUGGCGAAGGCGGGUCUCUGGACAGUUCCUGACGCUGAGGCACGAAGGCCAGGGGAGCAAACGGG